UGCUUACUGAAUGAAAGCCUGAAGAUCUGU
Molecule: non-coding RNA, 30 nt
Filed under: Rattus norvegicus (Norway rat)
Lineage: Eukaryota; Metazoa; Chordata; Mammalia; Rodentia; Muridae
Source: RNAcentral